CUGCCAUGAUGGGGACAGUGGACUGAGG
RNAcentral lists this non-coding RNA (28 nucleotides) under Cricetulus griseus (Chinese hamster). Lineage: Eukaryota; Metazoa; Chordata; Mammalia; Rodentia; Cricetidae. The record is from RNAcentral.